UACGGGGGGGGCAAGCGUUGUUCGGAAUUACUGGGCGUAAAGGGCUCGUAGGUGGCCAACUAAGUCAGACGUGAAAUCCCUCAGCUUAACUGGGGAACUGCGUCUGAUACUGGAUGGCUUGAGAUUGGGAGAGGGAUGCGGAAUUCCAGGUGUAGCGGUGAAAUGCGUAGAUAUCUGGAGGAACACCGGUGGCGAAGGCGGCAUCCUGGACCAACACUGACACUGAGGAGCGAAAGCCAGGGGAGCAAACGG
This 252-nucleotide ribosomal RNA is filed under the name uncultured prokaryote. Its description in RNAcentral is "partial 16S ribosomal RNA". It matches the Rfam family "Bacterial small subunit ribosomal RNA", at positions 524 to 775 of the family's 1533-position model. The record is from RNAcentral.